UGCGAGGAAGCGGGAAAAGCUCAAAUUUAAAAUCUGGCAGUGGUUCACUGCCCGAGUUGUAAUCUAGAGAAGUGUUGCUCACACUGGACCAUGUAUAAGUCUUCUGGAAUGAAGCGUCAUAGAGGGUGAGAAUCCCGUCUUUGACAUGGACUCCCCAGUGUAUUUGUAGCAUGCUCUCAAAGAGUCGAGUUGUUUGGGAAUGCAGCUCUAAAUGGGUGGUAACCUCCAUCUAAAGCUAAAUAUUGGCGAGAGACCGAUAGUGAACAAGUACCGUGAGGGAAAGAUGAAAAGAACUUUGGAAAGAGAGUUAAAAAGUACGUGAAAUUGUUGAAAGGGAAACGCUUGAAGUCAGUCACAUUGGCCAGGGAUCAACUUGCUUAAGUGUACUUCCUGGCUGAUGGGCCAACAUCAGCUUUGACUGUCAGAGAAGGGUAGGGGGAAUGUGGCACCCUUCUUGGGUGUGUUAUAGCCCUCUGUCAUAUAUGGCGGUUGGGGCUGAGGAAUGCAGCGCGCCACAAGGCCGGGCUUCGACCACGUUCGCGCUUAGGAUGUUGGCAUAAUGGCUUUAAUCGACCCGUCUUGAAACACGGACCAAGGAGUCUAACAUGCCUGCGAGUGUUUGGGUGGAAAACCCGAGUGCAUAAUGAAAGUGAAAGUUGAGAUCCCUGUCAUGGGGUGCAUCGACGCCCGGACCUGAGCUUUCUAGCAAUGGCUCUGCGGUAUAGCAUGUAUGUUGGGACCCGAAAGAUGGUGAACUAUGCCUGAAUAGGGCGAAGCCAGAGGAAACUCUGGUGGAGGCUCGUAGCGAUUCUGACGUGCAA
RNAcentral lists this ribosomal RNA (821 nucleotides) under Amanita basii. Its description in RNAcentral is "eukaryotic LSU rRNA". It matches the Rfam family "Eukaryotic large subunit ribosomal RNA", at positions 88 to 896 of the family's 3401-position model. The record is from RNAcentral. Lineage: Eukaryota; Fungi; Basidiomycota; Agaricomycetes; Agaricales; Amanitaceae.